CAGCACCUCAAGUGGUCAGGAUGAUUAUUUGGCCUAAAGCGUCCGUAGCCGGCCGAGUAAGUCCCCCGUUAAAUCCAGCGUCUCAAGCGUUGGACCGCGGGAGAUACUACACGGCUAGAGAGUGGGAGAGGUCAGCGGUAUUCUGGGGGUAGGGGCGAAAUCCUUUGAUCCCCGGAGGACCACCAGUGGCGAAGGCUGCUGACUAGAACACGUCUGACGGUCAGGGACGAAAGCUGGGGUAGCGAACCGGAUUAGAUACCCGAGUAGUCC
Molecule: ribosomal RNA, 270 nt
Filed under: uncultured archaeon
Lineage: Archaea
Description: partial 16S ribosomal RNA
Rfam family: Archaeal small subunit ribosomal RNA
Source: RNAcentral